RNAcentral lists this ribosomal RNA (411 nucleotides) under uncultured Actinomycetes bacterium. RNAcentral describes it as "bacterial SSU rRNA". It matches the Rfam family "Bacterial small subunit ribosomal RNA", at positions 37 to 435 of the family's 1533-position model. Lineage: Bacteria; Bacillati; Actinomycetota; Actinomycetes. The record is from RNAcentral.
AAAAUCGGAGAUACUGGUGCGCUUUUCACAUGCGAGAACGACCACGGGGGGCCAACGGAUUCUAGCCUGUAAUUUCUUACGGCGGAGCCCAAAAUUCCACACCAGCGGACUGGUUUGGGAUAACAAAUGGAAACGUUUGCUAAUACCAAAUAACGUCGGAGAGUCACAUGACUUUCUGACGAAAGGAAUUCCGAUUCGAGAGGGUCUCGCGGCCUAUCAGCUUGUUGGCGGGGUAAUGGCCCACCAAGGCAACGACGGGUAGCUGGUCUGAGAGGAUGGUCAGCCACACUGGGACUGAGACACGGCCCAGACUCCUACGGGAGGCAGCAGUGGGGAAUCUUGCGCAAUGGGCGAAAGCCUGACGCAGCAACGCCGCGUGCGGGAAGAAGGCUUUCGGGCUGUAAACCGCUU